This 253-nucleotide ribosomal RNA is filed under the name uncultured bacterium. RNAcentral describes it as "partial 16S ribosomal RNA". It matches the Rfam family "Bacterial small subunit ribosomal RNA", at positions 524 to 776 of the family's 1533-position model. The record is from RNAcentral.
UACGGAGGAUGCAAGCGUUAUCCGGAAUGAUUGGGCGUAAAGCGUCCGCAGGUGGCUGUGUAAGUCUGCUGUUAAAGAGUCUAGCUCAACUAGAUACAAGCAGUGGAAACUACACGGCUAGAGUACGUUCGGGGCAGAGGGAAUUCCUGGUGUAGCGGUGAAAUGCGUAGAUAUCGGGAGGAACACCAGUGGCGAAGGCGACUACCUGGCCUGUUCUUGACGCUGAGGCGCGAAAGCUAGGGGAGCAAACAGG